Molecule: small nucleolar RNA, 134 nt
Organism: Balaenoptera musculus (blue whale)
Lineage: Eukaryota; Metazoa; Chordata; Mammalia; Artiodactyla; Balaenopteridae
Gene: SNORA70
Rfam family: Small nucleolar RNA SNORA70
About the family: snoRNA U70 seems to be exclusive to mammals and is a member of the H/ACA class of snoRNA which contain H (ANANNA) and ACA box motifs.
Source: Ensembl
UUGCAGCCAAUUAAGCCAACCCUGCUCUUUCCCCCGUGGGAGCCCCGUGUGCAAUGGCUGCAAACAGCAGCCUCCUUGGUAGUGCACGCAGCCUCUUGCCUGUAUGGGUUGCCCUAAGGGACUUCGAGACAGCC